RNAcentral lists this ribosomal RNA (497 nucleotides) under uncultured bacterium. RNAcentral describes it as "partial 16S ribosomal RNA". It matches the Rfam family "Bacterial small subunit ribosomal RNA", at positions 28 to 507 of the family's 1533-position model. The record is from RNAcentral.
GAUGAACGCUGGCGGCGUGCCUAAUACAUGCAAGUCGAGCGAACGGACGAGAAGCUUGCUUUUCUGAUGUUAGCGGCGGACGGGUGAGUAACACGUGGAUAACCUACCUAUAAGACUGGGAUAACUUCGGGAAACCGGAGCUAAUACCGGAUAAUAUUUUGAACCGCAUGGUUCAAAAGUGAAAGACGGUCUUGCUGUCACUUAUAGAUGGAUCCGCGCUGCAUUAGCUAGUUGGUAAGGUAACGGCUUACCAAGGCAACGAUGCAUAGCCGACCUGAGAGGGGGAUCGGCCACACGGGAACUGAGACACGGUCCAGACUCCUACGGGAGGGAGCAGUAGGGAAUCUUCCGCAAAGGGCGAAAGCCUGACGGAGCAACGCCGCGUGAGUGAUGAAGGUCUUCGGAUCGUAAAACUCUGUUAUUAGGGAAGAACAUAUGUGUAAGUAACUGUGCACAUCUUGACGGUACCUAAUCAGAAAGCCACGGCUAACUACGUG